CAAGCGAGGAGCUCUGUGUCUUAAAUAAGACCUGUGGCAGCAGUCUGGAAGGCCAAGCUGAAGAGUGUUGGUGGAGCAAGCUUCUUGCAGCUGUCCCCCGAGUUUUUGCUCAGACUGGGCACUGUCUAGCUCCAGGGCUCUCUCCUGGGACCAAAUGAACAUGGAUCUCAGAGGCGAGGUCGGGCGGCUGCACAGAAGUUGGAGAGCUGCUGUCUGAUGCUCUGGAACUACAUGAGGUGACUGAAGUCGGCUCUGUGGACGGCCUCCUCCUCACUCAACUUCAUGGCCAUCGAUCAAUUUUCUAGAAAUUUCAAUCUGCUCUGGGAAGAACUUGCAAAGACUCAGAACCGAAGCUCUCAGGGAUAGCAGUGUCCUGUCAGUGACAUUGGAGAAGCCAAGAGUGAUGGUUCCCUGUGGGGACAUCAAGCAGUGGUACUCUGGGUGUUUGUAACCCACACAUUGGGAAUCUAUGUAUUGUUUCCAAUGCUCAAUGCACACUUCUUGUAAGUCCUGUAUAGCACUUUAAAACCUUGCAUAUUGUUAGGUCUUUAUAUAUAUUAACAUUACAUGUUAAAUAUAAAACUAUGAGCUUUAUAUUGUUAUGUCAUCUCAGUAAUUAUUACUUAUCAACAAGUUGUUAUCUUGAAAUACUUUUUUUACAAAGAAGCAAAGUUAUUUAUUAAUUGUAUUUGUAUCGAAUCUACAACCAUGUCAUUUUAAAUUUGGUAAUUUAUAAACAGUCACUGUUUUACUCUAA
Long non-coding RNA from Phyllostomus hastatus (greater spear-nosed bat), 757 nucleotides. RefSeq lists it as uncharacterized. The record is from RefSeq and is a predicted model, not a curated record. The transcript is spliced from 2 exons. Lineage: Eukaryota; Metazoa; Chordata; Mammalia; Chiroptera; Phyllostomidae.